This 736-nucleotide ribosomal RNA is filed under the name uncultured Bacilli bacterium. RNAcentral describes it as "bacterial SSU rRNA". It matches the Rfam family "Bacterial small subunit ribosomal RNA", at positions 68 to 776 of the family's 1533-position model. Lineage: Bacteria; Bacillati; Bacillota; Bacilli. The record is from RNAcentral.
GCUUCUUUCCUCCCGAGUGCUUGCACUCAAUUGGAAAGAGGAGUGGCGGACGGGUGAGUAACACGUGGGUAACCUACCCAUCAGAGGGGGAUAACACUUGGAAACAGGUGCUAAUACCGCAUAACAGUUUAUGCCGCAUGGCAUAAGAGUGAAAGGCGCUUUCGGGUGUCGCUGAUGGAUGGACCCGCGGUGCAUUAGCUAGUUGGUGAGGUAACGGCUCACCAAGGCCACGAUGCAUAGCCGACCUGAGAGGGUGAUCGGCCACACUGGGACUGAGACACGGCCCAGACUCCUACGGGAGGCAGCAGUAGGGAAUCUUCGGCAAUGGACGAAAGUCUGACCGAGCAACGCCGCGUGAGUGAAGAAGGUUUUCGGAUCGUAAAACUCUGUUGUUAGAGAAGAACAAGGACGUUAGUAACUGAACGUCCCCUGACGGUAUCUAACCAGAAAGCCACGGCUAACUACGUGCCAGCAGCCGCGGUAAUACGUAGGUGGCAAGCGUUGUCCGGAUUUAUUGGGCGUAAAGCGAGCGCAGGCGGUUUCUUAAGUCUGAUGUGAAAGCCCCCGGCUCAACCGGGGAGGGUCAUUGGAAACUGGGAGACUUGAGUGCAGAAGAGGAGAGUGGAAUUCCAUGUGUAGCGGUGAAAUGCGUAGAUAUAUGGAGGAACACCAGUGGCGAAGGCGGCUCUCUGGUCUGUAACUGACGCUGAGGCUCGAAGCGUGGGGAGCAAACAGG